GGUAAUUCACGCAUCCAAAAUUUGUCACUAUUCUUCUAAAAGAUCCAUCUAUGCAUAUUUCACAAACAUAACCAGAUACAUAGAACAAAUUUGGAAUCUCAGAAUCAGAAGGCCUGGAAAAUGACAGUGUUAAAGAAAAAGGGAAAAAUACUGCUUUUAUUAUGUUGAGACUUACUUUUCUCUGGUAGAGGUUCUGGUUUCUCAGGUACAGCCACAGGUUCUGGUAAUUUCUUCUCUGGAACAAUCUUCUUCGGCACCUCAGGUUCUUUAGGUGGUGGAGGUUCUGCUUUUUUAGGAACUUCAACAUGUACUUUUUCUUCUGGAACCACCUUCUUGGGUACCUCAGGCACUUUAGCUGGUGGAGGUUCUGGUUUCUUCGGUACUUCAACUGAAACCUCUUCUUUGACCACUUUCUUUGGUACCUCGGGCACUUUAGCCGGUGGUACUUCUGGCUUUUUAGGCUCAGAAACUUUGAUUUUCUCUUCUAUUUUCUUGUGUACUUCAGGCUCUUUA
RNAcentral lists this long non-coding RNA (513 nucleotides) under Gallus gallus (chicken). Lineage: Eukaryota; Metazoa; Chordata; Aves; Galliformes; Phasianidae. The record is from RNAcentral.